Molecule: ribosomal RNA, 265 nt
Filed under: uncultured archaeon
Lineage: Archaea
Description: partial 16S ribosomal RNA
Rfam family: Archaeal small subunit ribosomal RNA
Source: RNAcentral
AGUCACUGACAUUAGAUACCCGGGUAGUCCCAGCCGUAAACAAUGUGCGUUAGGUGUGUCGGUAACCACGUGUUACUGAUGCGCCGAAGAGAAAUCGUGAAACGCACCACCUGGGAAGUACGGUCGCAAGGCUGAAACUUAAAGGAAUUGGCGGGGGAGCACCACAACAGGUGGAGCCUGCGGUUUAAUUGGAUUCAACGCCGGACAUCUCACCGGAUAAGACAGCUGAAUGAUUGUCAAUCUGAAGGUUUUACAUGACUAGCUG